UUAUUUUAUUUUGGUUAAUAUUUUUAUUAUUAUUUUAUUUUACAUGUAAAUUUUUGUGUGAAUUUAUUUAAUUUUUAAAAAAUUAUUUAGUUUAUUUAUUCGCAGUGAUUAAUAUUAAUAUAAAAAAGAAAUUUUGUAUUAGUAAUAAUAUAUAGUAUUGGUAAAAUUUGUGCCAGCUACCGCGGUUAUACAAAUAAUACAAAUAAAAAUUUUUAGUAUUAGUUAAAUUAAUCAAAUUUUAAUAUAAAUAUAAAUUUAUUAGGUGAAAUUUUUAAAUUUAUUUAUUAUUAAUUUAAAAAAUAAUUUAAGCUAUAAACUUUUUAUAAUAAACUAGGAUUAGAUACCCUAUUAUUAAAAAUAAAUAUGAGCAUACUAAAGUAGUAUUAGUUAUAUUCUUAAAAUUUAAAAAAUUUGGCGGUAUUUUAGUCUAUUCAGAGGAAUCUGUCCUGUAAUUGAUAGUCCACAUUGAACCUUACUUAAAUUUGUUUAAUUUGUAUAUCGCCGUCAUCAGAAUAUAUUAUAAGAUAAAAUUUUCUUAAUAUUUAAUAAAAUAAUAUGUCAGGUCAAGGUGCAGUUUAUGUUUAAGUAGAGAUGGAUUACAAUAAAUUUAUUUAAUAUGGAUAAUUUUUUGAAAUAAAGAUUUGAAAGUGGAUUUGAAAGUAAUAUAAAAUAGAUUAUUUAUAUGAUUUUAGUUCUAAAAUAUGCACAUAUCGCCCAUCGUUCUUAUUUUUAAAAUAAGAUAAGUUGUAACAUAGUAGAUGUACUGGAAAGUGUAUCUAGAAAGA
This 785-nucleotide non-coding RNA is filed under the name Culex pipiens pipiens. Lineage: Eukaryota; Metazoa; Arthropoda; Insecta; Diptera; Culicidae. The record is from RNAcentral. RNAcentral also lists the same sequence under 1 other name.